This 355-nucleotide ribosomal RNA is filed under the name uncultured bacterium. Its description in RNAcentral is "bacterial SSU rRNA". It matches the Rfam family "Bacterial small subunit ribosomal RNA", at positions 8 to 350 of the family's 1533-position model. The record is from RNAcentral.
AGAGUUUUAUCAUGGCUCAGGAUGAACGCUAGCUACAGGCUUAACACAUGCAAGUCGAGGGGAAACGACAUCGAAAGCUUGCUUUUGAUGGGCGUCGACCGGCGCACGGGUGAGUAACGCGUAUCCAACCUGCCCACCACUUGGGGAUAACCUUGCGAAAGUAAGACUAAUACCCAAUGACGUCUCUAGAAGACAUCUGAAGGAGAUUAAAGAUUUAUCGGUGAUGGAUGGGGAUGCGUCUGAUUAGCUUGUUGGCGGGGUAACGGCCACCAAGGCGACGAUCAGUAGGGGUUCUGGAGAGGAAGGUCCCCCANAUUGGAACUGAGACACGGUCCAAAACUCCGUACGGGAGGCA